This 1456-nucleotide ribosomal RNA is filed under the name uncultured Bordetella sp. RNAcentral describes it as "partial 16S-23S ribosomal RNA intergenic spacer". It matches the Rfam family "Bacterial small subunit ribosomal RNA". The record is from RNAcentral. Lineage: Bacteria; Pseudomonadati; Pseudomonadota; Betaproteobacteria; Burkholderiales; Alcaligenaceae.
AGUUCGAUUAUGGGUCUCAGACAAUCGCUGGAUGCUUACACAUGCAAGUCGAACGGCAGCACGGAAUUUCCGGUCUGUGGCGAGGCGGGACGGUGAGUAGUCGUAUCGGAACGCCUAGUAGCGGGGAUAACUACGCGAAAAAGCAGUAGCUUACACAUUGCAUAUACCCUGGGGGAAAGCGGGGACCUUCGGGCCUGCACUAUUAGAGUGGCCGAUAUCGGAUUAGCUAGUUGGUGGGCAAUGGCUCACCAAGGCGACGAUCCGUAGCUGGUUUGAGAGGACGACCAGCCACACCGGGACCGGGAGACACGGCCCAGACUCCUACGGGAGGCAGUGGGGAAUUUUGACAAUGGGGAAACCCUGAUCCAGCCAUCCGCGUGUGCGAUGAAGGCCUUCGGGUUGUGAAGCACUUUUUGGCAGGAAAGAAACGGCACGGAGCAAUACCCCGUGCAACUGACGGUACUUGCAGAAUAAGCACCGGCUAACUACGUGCCAGCAGCCGCGGUAAUACGUAGGGUAAAGCUGCUAAUCGGAAUUACUGGGCGUAAAGCGCAGGCGGUUCGGAAAGCAGUGAUGUGAAAUCCCAGAGCUUAACUUUGAACUGCAUUUUUAACUACCGAGCUAGAGGUCAGGAGGGAGGUGGAAUUCAUGUAGCAGUGUGGAGAGAUGCAGAUAUGCGGAGGAACACCGAUGGCGAAGGCAGCCUCCUGGGGGAUAACACUGACGUUCAUGCUCGAAAGCGUGGGGAGCAAACAGAUUAGAUACCCUGGUAGUCCACGCCCUAAACGAUGUCAACUAGCUGUUAGUCUGGCCUGUAGCAGCCAGUGAAGUUGACCGCCUGGGGAGUACGGUCGCAAGAUUAAAACUCAAAGGAAUUGAUUUGGACCCGCACAAGCGGUGGAUGAUGUGGAUUAAUUCGAUGCAACGCGAAAACCUUACCUACCCUUGACAUGUCUGGAAUCCCGAAGAGAUUUGGGAGUGCUCGCAAGAGAACCGAACACAGGUGCUGCAUGGCUGUCGUCAGCUCGUGUCGAGAUGUUGGGUUAAGUCCCGCAACGAGUGGCAACCCCAGCUGGCUAGUUGCUACGAAAGGGCACUCUAAUGAGACUGCCGGUGACAAACCGGAGGAAGGUGGGGAUGACGUCAAGUCCUCAUGGCCCUUGCGGGUAGGGCUUCACACGUCAUACAAUCGGUCGGGACAGAGGGUCGCUAACCCGCGAGGUAGAGCCAAUCCCAGAAACCCGAUCGGGAACUGGAUCGCAGUCUGCAACGACUGCGGAAGUCGGAAUCGCUAGUAAUCGCGGACUCAGCAUGUCGCGGUGAAUACGUUCCCGGGUCUUGUACACACCGCCCGUCACACCAUGGGAGUGGGUUUUACCAGAAGUAGUUAGCCUAACCGCAAGGAGGGCGACGUUUUUCUAGGAUUCAUGACUGGGGUGAAGUUCGCACAAGGUAG